Apteryx rowi (Okarito brown kiwi) is the source of this 1882-nucleotide long non-coding RNA. NCBI's taxonomy places the organism in Eukaryota, Metazoa, Chordata, Aves, Apterygiformes, Apterygidae. The record is from Ensembl.
CUCACGCAAGGAAGACAGAGGUGACUAUCACUGCUGGAGAUCUAGGAACACGUAGUAGCACUUCUCAGGUUGACAGACGCACGACAGGCAUCUUUUUCUUGAGAGAGGGGGGAGAACUGUAUUGGCACAAGUACUGACUGAAUGGUGGGCAGGAGAAACAGGUGUGAAUGGUGUCCCUUCCGUCUCCGAAGAAUCGCCUCURCUGCCGUAGGCAGGAAGUAUGGCCCUAGCUUUCGUUGGCACUACUUAGUGAGCACAGGUGGGCACUGGCAGCCAGCACUGUUGRCUUGYCUCAAACUUAAUUUGCCAGACUGUGCUGGCGUGGCACCAAAACUCUUUGCUGACUCCGUGAAUCGUUACUUUGGGGGGAGAAMGGGAAAAAAAUAAAGCCUUYGUUUUCCMUARGGAAAUYRGGGGCUGAUUCCAGUCCCUGGAGAUCCCAUGAGGUAGCAAACAAAGCUAGAGUCAGAUAUGCUCCCUUCCCCUCCUCUAAGCRUGUCUCCUGUCCUCUGCAGUCRAGAGCCCGGUGCCCAGAGCAGCAAGCAGAGGCCAAGCUGCAGGSCCAGCCCUUCUCUUAUGGCACCGUGCCUUCCUCAGGCURCAAGAAAAGAGCCGCCACCGUGAAGCUGAGCCCCUGGCAGAGAACUGCUGAGUGUACGUGGYUGCUCACUUCAGUUAGCUCUGAAGGCCCCGGGGGUCAAAAAGUGUCAAAGCAGGCACUAGACAAGGCUGCUGGUGGCUCCCAAAUCGCUCCCUCCUGGCUGGGACUUCAAAGAGUUUAAUACUUGGUAGGAGACAUUGUGAUUUCCGAGGAUUGCCUCUCUGCUGAAGAGGAGAGCAACUCCUGUUUCCUGUCAGGUUGAGCUUGGCCUGGAAACRUGGCGCUGCCUUUUCUGCUGUGACGUCACCGACCGCCGUUGACGUCACAAGCCAUCACCGCUGUGUGAGGUAGCAAGAGCAGGGCGGCAGCUGCGGGCUGCCCCUGCCGCUUGCUCACUCUCUGUYGUGACGGCAAGGAGAUCAGAGCGCUUUUGGGCCACGCCUGAGCGAACAGGGUGUUUGGCAGCUGCRUCUCUGCACCUAUGUUCAGAAACCGAGGCCAAGACGUACGCUGGUACGGAUGUGCUGCUUUGGAGAGUUUUAGGAAGCCUCCUCUCUUUUCCUCAAGUGCCUUUUGCACCUAAUCAGCCUGGGGUGGGGGUGUGUGUGGGGGAUGGACGGGGGAAGAGCAGAAGGACAGCCUCCGAGCUCAGGGUAAAGCUGGCUGAAGGCAACAGCAGAUACCGCGUGCCCUGUGUGCCUCAGACCCUUUUCUUUCUCGUAGGCAACCUGCGAGCCAAGGGCCUGUUCUCCAGAGCCCUGGAGUCUACGGGCAGGACCAACGCCAGCUUCAGCGUCCAGACCCACACAYCGUACUGAAGGAUGAAGGCCUGCGGAGGAGAGUAAAGGUGGUCAGCGAAGCACAGACUGCCCUGGAAAUCGUUGGGACACACUAUGACCUCCUCUCCAGGAAAAAUCUGCCUGAGCUCUCUAUGCAGGGAAUCAUAUUUGAAGCACCUGAGGUUGUCUGAUGUAGUGACAGCUGAACUAUCCCCAAGAAGUCCAACCUACUAGCAGUGUUCCCUACGACUGCUCCCCUUUCCGUCUUAGGGCGCAGGCUAGAAAGCUGGAGGUUUUCAAACACAGGUGUAUAGGCGAUAUGAAGUUUGAGAAGACCAAUUUCUCUGUCAUCUGCCUACUUCUUCCAACAAGCAAGUCAGCUUGCAACUAAGACCUCAUCUAACUGGUUCCGUGGGAGGCACAUGCCCCUGUGCCUUCCGGGCUCUGGAGAGCUGGUCCUCCUUUGAACUGGCUCCAUAUCAGUUGGAGAGCUGGCUUUCAG